Molecule: ribosomal RNA, 434 nt
Filed under: uncultured bacterium
Lineage: Bacteria
Description: partial 16S ribosomal RNA
Rfam family: Bacterial small subunit ribosomal RNA
Source: RNAcentral
AGCGAACGCUGGCGGCAGGCCUAACACAUGCAAGUCGAACGAACCUUUCGGGGUUAGUGGCGGACGGGUGAGAAACACGUGGGAACGUGCCUUUAGGUUCGGAAUAACUCAGGGAAACUUGUGCUAAUACCGAAUGUGCCCUUCGGGGGAAAGAUUUAUCGCCUUUAGAGCGGCCCGCGUCUGAUUAGCUAGUUGGUUGAGGUAAUGGCUCACCAAGGCGACGAUCAGUAGCUGGUCUGAGAGGAUGAUCAGCCACAUUGGGACUGAGACACGGCCCAAACUCCUACGGGAGGCAGCAGUGGGGAAUCUUGCGCAAUGGGCGAAAGCCUGACGCAGCCAUGCCGCGUGAAUGAUGAAGGUCUUAGGAUUGUAAAAUUCUUUCACCGGGGACGAUAAUGACGGUACCCGGAGAAGAAGCCCCGGCUAACUUCGUG